This 561-nucleotide ribosomal RNA is filed under the name Triticum aestivum (bread wheat). RNAcentral describes it as "partial small subunit ribosomal RNA". The record is from RNAcentral. Lineage: Eukaryota; Viridiplantae; Streptophyta; Magnoliopsida; Poales; Poaceae.
AUGCGGCGGCUCAGCGACGCAGGGGAGGCCACGCCGCUCGUCACCCCCGCGGCGGCCGCGGCGGCGGGCGGCACCUUGGCGUCGCCGGCCGCUGCGGGGAGCAACGCCAACUUCGACGCCAACAUGGUGAUCAUCCUCGCCGCGCUGCUCUGCGUUCUCAUUUUCGCGCUCGGGCUCAACUCCGUCAUCCGCUGCGUGCUCCAGUGCGGCCGCCGGCUCGCGCCGUCGUCGAGCCUCGCGGCCAGCGCCACCGCGGCGAGGACGACGACAUCCGUGCACGUGCAGGCGGGGCUCAAGAGGAAGGCGCUGAGGAAGAUACCCGUGGAGGUGUAUGGCGGGGCCAAGUCUUCCGGCGGCGCCCUCCCGGCCACGGCCACGGAGUGCGCCAUCUGCCUCGGCGAGUUCGCCGACGGCGAGAAGGUGCGCGUGCUCCCGCGGUGCCACCACGGAUUCCACGUCCGCUGCAUCGACAUGUGGCUCGCCACGCACACCUCCUGCCCCAACUGCCGAGCCUCGCUCGCUGAGGACGGCGCCGCCGCUGCCAACGGCGGAGGGGGAUAG